GAUGAACGCUGGCGGCGUGCCUAAUACAUGCAAGUCGAGCGAACGGACGAGAAGCUUGCUUCUCUGAUGUUAGCGGCGGACGGGUGAGUAACACGUGGAUAACCUACCUAUAAGACUGGGAUAACUUCGGGAAACCGGAGCUAAUACCGGAUGAUAUUUUGAACCGCAUGGUUCAAAAGUGAAAGACGGUCUUGCUGUCACUUAUAGAUGGAUCCGCGCUGCAUUAGCUAGUUGGUAAGGUAACGGCUUACCAAGGCAACGAUGCAUAGCCGACCUGAGAGGGUGAUCGGCCACACUGGAACUGAGACACGGUCCUGACGCCUACGGGAGGGAGCAGUAGGGAAUCUUACGCAAUGGGCGAAAGCCUGACGGAGCAACGCCGAGCGAGUGAUGGAGGUCUUCGGAUCGUAAAAAUGUGUUAUUAGGGAAGAACAUAUGUGUAAGUAACUGUGCACAGCUUGACGGUACCUAAUCAGAAAGCCACGGCUAACUACGUG
RNAcentral lists this ribosomal RNA (497 nucleotides) under uncultured bacterium. RNAcentral's name for it is "partial 16S ribosomal RNA". It matches the Rfam family "Bacterial small subunit ribosomal RNA", at positions 28 to 507 of the family's 1533-position model. The record is from RNAcentral.